CCUCAGCCUCCUCCUGUGCCUGUAGUCUCGGGAAGACUGAGGAUCCAUGCCCAGCUGUGAAGCAAGUAAUGUGUCCAGGGCUGACCUCCUUGGGACUCACCUGGAUGGGAGCAAGCAUCAGUGGGGCUUCCUGGAGGAGGCAGCUCAGGCUCCACCUGCAGAGGGUGGAGGAUUGGGCUGCAGGGGGAGACACUGGUCAGAGGAAGCUGUGCUGAGAAAAGCCACCGGGGAGCCUGUCAGGGUCCCUUCUUGGGGCCUCAGGUGCUGCAGGAAGAAUGAUUCCAGCUGCCGCGGUGCGGGGAGGGGCCGUUAGUGAUGGGCUUUAAGGCCAAGCCAAGGGGACCAAAGGAGGCACGGAAGCAGGGGAGUCCCUGGGUACCGGACAGCUCCCCAGGCAGACUUGAGGGGGGCAUAGGGCUUGGCAGCCCCAGAAUCUCGAGCAGGUCCCAGCCUCUGCUCUGCCAGCUGCCUCUGCUGGGCAACCUCGGGCAGACCCUUCUUCCCACCUCUGGCUGCGAAGCCUGCCUCACGCCAGGGCCACUUCCCACAGGUGCCUCCCUCCCCACCAGAAAGGACCUAGAACCCCCACCCACGCCCCGUCUGUACUUGAUAGGGAGGCCCCGGACAGCAACGGAUUCACCUGCAGGCGCGGAAAGGAGCAAAGCCCAGUCGGGCUCCUCGCAGGCUGCAGAGGUUGGGGUGCCCCGGCCUCCUUCUUCCCGUGGAGAGGGCUCCAGGAGACGGAGGGGUCUGAGUGGACCACAAGACUUUUGUUUCAUCCAGGAAUGAGGAGGCGGCUGGGCCCCAUGUCCGGGGAGAACAUGUGAACGGAGGAGGCUCCUGGACCAACACCCUCAUCCACCACGCCCACUCCCAGGGCGUAGGUCCCAUCGUCCCCAGGUCCCCUGAGUGUGGAGAGACAUACUGACAUUUUCCAGCAGGAUUGCACCAGGCACCAUGGCAAAACAGGCAAGAUAAUUACGGGGGAUAAGAGAAGCUAAAAAUAGCCUCCUUCCCAGCCCAGACUCUUGGCAGGGAAGACGCCAGACGAACUUGCAGGAGCCCAGGACCUGGGCCCCCGGGCAGGGGCAGCCUGCAGCAGCACCCCUCACCAGGGAGCGUCCGGCAGCGCCAAGGCAGAAAGGAAGAGUCAGGGAUGCCCAAGACACAGCAGCGACACCAGGGGUGGGGUGCGGGGAGGAGAGACAAGGGCAUGGCUUCGGAGGAUGAGUGGAAGCUCACAGGCACUGACCGUUCCCAGAAGAAGGGGUGGAGCAGCUUCGUGGGUUCCAGGGGGCCAUCCAGAGGAGGGAGGUUUCCAGGAAACAAGCAAACAGAAAACAGACGCAAAGGUGCCCCUGUGGAAUGUUGCGUAGGAUGGAGCCCUGCACCGAGGACGGUGAGGAGGAUGAGAGGAAGGGACCACCUGAAAUUCCGGAGAAUAGAGCUCCACCGAGAGAGAUAGAGACAGAGGGUCAAAGAACGGGAGAGCAGCUGGACACUUGCCGUUGGCAUUUUGAGGGGUGCUCCAUGGCUUCUAAUUGGCCAAAUUCUCUUCAGUGUUAAAAUGAUGUAAAAUAUAAAACAUGUUAUUUCUUGACAAAAAUAAUAAUAUUUCAGGUUUGA
This is a non-coding RNA of Macaca mulatta (Rhesus monkey), 1626 nucleotides long. NCBI's taxonomy places the organism in Eukaryota, Metazoa, Chordata, Mammalia, Primates, Cercopithecidae. The record is from RefSeq and is a predicted model, not a curated record.